AAAGGAAUAGACGGGGACCCGCACAAGCAGCGGAGCAUGUGGUUUAAUUCGAAGCAACGCGAAGAACCUUACCAAGGCUUGACAUCCCUUGACCGCCAUGGAAACAUGGCUUCCCUUCGGGGCAAGGAGACAGGUGGUGCAUGGUUGUCGUCAGCUCGUGUCGUGAGAUGUUGGGUUAAGUCCCGCAACGAGCGCAACCCUUGUCAUUAGUUGCCAGCACGUAAUGGUGGGAACUCUAAUGAGACUGCCGGGGAUAACUCGGAGGAAGGUGGGGACGACGUCAAAUCAUCAUGCCCCUUAUGUCUUGGGCUACACACGUGCUACAAUGGCCGGUACAAAGGGCUGCGAAGGAGUAAUCCGAAGCGAAUCCCAUAAAGCCGGUCCCAGUUCGGAUUGUGGGCUGCAACCCGCCCACAUGAAGCCGGAGUUGCUAGUAAUCGCGAAUCAGCAUGUCGCGGUGAAUGCGUUCCCGGGUCUUGCACACACCGCCCGU
Molecule: ribosomal RNA, 493 nt
Filed under: uncultured bacterium
Lineage: Bacteria
Description: bacterial SSU rRNA
Rfam family: Bacterial small subunit ribosomal RNA
Source: RNAcentral